UACGAAGGGGGCUAGCGUUGCUCGGAAUUACUGGGCGUAAAGCGCACGUAGGCGGCUUUCUAAGUCGGGGGUGAAAUCCUGGAGCUCAACUCCAGAACUGCCUUCGAUACUGGAGAGCUCGAGUCCGGGAGAGGUGAGUGGAACUGCGAGUGUAGAGGUGAAAUUCGUAGAUAUUCGCAAGAACACCAGUGGCGAGGGCGGCUCACUGGCCCGGUACUGACGCUGAGGUGCGAAAGCGUGGGGAGCAAACAGG
This 253-nucleotide ribosomal RNA is filed under the name uncultured bacterium. RNAcentral's name for it is "partial 16S ribosomal RNA". It matches the Rfam family "Bacterial small subunit ribosomal RNA", at positions 524 to 776 of the family's 1533-position model. The record is from RNAcentral.